This 1780-nucleotide small RNA is filed under the name Geitlerinema sp. CY20. Its description in RNAcentral is "bacterial SSU rRNA". The stretch from base 1 to 1178 matches the Rfam family "Bacterial small subunit ribosomal RNA", at positions 343 to 1533 of the family's 1533-position model. Lineage: Bacteria; Bacillati; Cyanobacteriota; Cyanophyceae; Geitlerinematales; Geitlerinemataceae. The record is from RNAcentral.
AAUUUUCCGCAAUGGGGAAUUUUUCGCAAUGGGCGCAAGCCCUGACGGAGCCAAGACCGCGUGCGGGGAGGACGGCCUUAUUGGUUGUAAACCGCUUUUGAUAGGGAAGAAGUUCUGACGGUACCUAUCGAAUCAGCAUCGGCUAACUCCGUGCCAGCAGCCGCGGUAAUACGGAGGAUGCAAGCGUUAUCCGGAAUUAUUGGGCGUAAAGCGUCCGUAGGUGGUUGUUCAAGUCUGCUGUUAAAGCGUGCGGCUUAACCGCAUACCAGCAGUGGAAACUGGGCGACUAGAGUGCGGUAGGGGUCAGGGGAAUUCCCAGUGUAGCGGUGAAAUGCGUAGAUAUUGGGAAGAACACCGGUGGCGAAAGCGCCUGACUGGACCUGCACUGACACUGAGGGACGAAAGCUAGGGGAGCGAAAGGGAUUAGAUACCCCUGUAGUCCUAGCCGUAAACGAUGGACACUAGGUGUUGCCCGUAUCGACCCGGGCAGUGCCGUAGCCAACGCGUUAAGUGUCCCGCCUGGGGAGUACGCUCGCAAGAGUGAAACUCAAAGGAAUUGACGGGGGCCCGCACAAGCGGUGGAGUAUGUGGUUUAAUUCGAUGCAACGCGAAGAACCUUACCAGGGCUUGACAUGUCCAGAACCCUCCUGAAAGGGAGGGGUGCCUUCGGGAACUGGAGCACAGGUGGUGCAUGGCUGUCGUCAGCUCGUGUCGUGAGAUGUUGGGUUAAGUCCCGCAACGAGCGCAACCCUCGUUUUUAGUUGCCAUCAUUCAGUUGGGCACUCUAGAGAGACUGCCGGUGACAAACCGGAGGAAGGUGGGGAUGACGUCAAGUCAGCAUGCCCCUUACGUCCUGGGCUACACACGUACUACAAUGCUGCGGACAAAGGGUUGCAAGCUCGCGAGAGCAAGCUAAUCCCAUAAACCGUGGCUCAGUUCAGAUUGCAGGCUGCAACUCGCCUGCAUGAAGGAGGAAUCGCUAGUAAUCGCAGGUCAGCAUACUGCGGUGAAUACGUUCCCGGGCCUUGUACACACCGCCCGUCACACCAUGGGAGUUGGCCACGCCCGAAGUCGUUACUCCAACCCUCGGGAGGAGGACGCCGAAGGCAGGGCUGAUGACUGGGGUGAAGUCGUAACAAGGUAGCCGUACCGGAAGGUGUGGCUGGAUCACCUCCUUUAAGGGAGACCUACCCACUCUAGAGUCGAACGCACAGUGCAAAUAGGUUCAGAGUUGGUCAUCCCAAGGUCGUUCGGAUUACAGAUGUGGCUUCCAAACUGUUUGGUUCGGUUUAUGGGCUAUUAGCUCAGGUGGUUAGAGCGCACCCCUGAUAAGGGUGAGGUCCCUGGUUCGAGUCCAGGAUGGCCCACCUUUAUAUAUUGACAAGGGGGUUUAGCUCAGUUGGUAGAGCGCCUGCUUUGCAAGCAGGAUGUCAGCGGUUCGAGUCCGCUAACCUCCACUGGGCGACAUCGAUACUAAGCAACAUUGAUACCAAGCGACAUCGAGUUGUAAUGAUUCGCUAGUCAGCUAGUCAAACGGUCAGCGAGUUAAACAACGAGUUAAGCCACUGGUUAAACCAACUCAGUAAUUCAGCAACUCAUCUUGCACUUCGUAUUGAAGACAAGCAAGAGAGCCUGCUGGAUUAUGUCCAGCCAGAACCUUGAAAACUGCAUAGAAAAUUGUCAGGUAGCAGACAGCUAAAGUUGACGGAAGAGUAACAGCUUGCCGUCAGUGAAAGUUGUCACUAUCACAGACACCAAUGUAAGCAAGACAAAAGCGAAA